RNAcentral lists this transfer RNA (48 nucleotides) under Aspidoras albater (false macropterus). Its description in RNAcentral is "partial tRNA-Ser". The record is from RNAcentral. Lineage: Eukaryota; Metazoa; Chordata; Actinopteri; Siluriformes; Callichthyidae. RNAcentral also lists the same sequence under 1 other name.
GAGAGGCCUAAAGCAGUAAGGGCUGCUAAUCCAUACCCCCGCGGUUAG